GUACAAUAAGAUAUUUUUCCUGUGUUUGCUAGCAGAAAGAUACCUUGUAACUUGGUCUUUUCAGAGGAUAGAAACUGUUUGUGAAGUCUAACACAUCUAAAUCUGCAGCAGCACUCAUUAAAUCUUGCCAUUUUUGGAGAGCAGAAUACACUUUUCUCAGCUCUUUGUUUAAUGCUCCCAGCAAUUGUUUUGGGUGUUCAGCCUAAGGAGGCACCAGUGUUAACAUAGGUAGAGAUAAGAGUAUAACCCUGAGGGAACUUGUGAGCCCCUUCAUUAUGGGCAGCUCUAUUUUCUGCAUGGUUUUUGAAGGGCUGCAUGGAUGAGCUACAAAACCAGAAAUAAAGCAAACAAAAGCAGCAUGUGCCAGGGAACAGGUGGAUUAGUGGAUUUCUUUCUCAGUGCAGAGAUCUUAACUUCAAUUACCAUCACCAGUGGUAAUCAAUGGGGAUCCAAAUGGAUGUCAUGCACAUAUGCAGUGCUCUAACAAUCAGCCUGGUACAGAGCUCAUGAGGUCAGUUCUGGGGAGAUUUGUGGCAGCAAAUGCCUGGAGAUUCCCACGGACCUGGCUGGUGAUGCCAGAGCACGGGGGACUGCUGGAGCAGUUGGAUGUCAUAGAAAGACUGAUGCUCUUGUGCCCACCUCACCUCAACCUGCAGUGAUUUUCCCAAUGGAAAAGGAGUCAAAAUCAGAUUAUUAGGAUCUGCUAUGCAUUUCUGUGUGUUUGUCCUUACAGGCUCUAAUAUUGAUGAUUCUUAAAUAAAGAAACCUCAGUAUCCUAUUCCAUGGCAGGUUGGAGUCAGUAAACUUCUGUCAGUUCCCACCUGUUUUUGGGAAGGAUCACUCUGUGCUCUUUCUGUGCACUUUGUGGGUCCCUGUUGAGAGUAGUGAGGGUUCACAUUAGAUGUGGCUGCCAUGCACUGCUCUGCACAUGUGCUAAGUGGAUUUCAUUUACUUCUGGCCUCCCUCAUUUUAGUCUUGUAAUCUGCACUAGUUUAAUUGCUGUGCACAGGGCUUUGGAAUCUUCAUUGUAGUAUUUCAUGAGGCUAGAACAUAGAAAAAGCUUUCUUCUCUCAAGCACAGAUGCCUCCUCAUAGGCAGUAGGACUUCAAAGUUGCAGCUUUUCAUGUAAAAGGCCAUUUCUUAUUUUGCUAAUUUGUUUGGCUUUUAAUCACUGAUUCCCUGUGUUUCCCUGCCUCUUACCCAACCACAAAAUGACUACUAUGUGGAAAGGUUUCAGCUGCCUUGAGAGCACUCUUGAAACAUGUUCUUUGCCCUGAGUGAGAAGUACAAGCUGAACAGAAACUAUGCUGAGAGCUGUGUCCUGAGCACCAGGGGCAGAUUACAGGACUGACAGUGAACGCUCUGGUUGUCCUUGACCAUACUGGUGCUUGGGGUAGAAAAUUGAGAAGCUGUUAGUAUUGAUGGUUCUGAGCUUUUCUUUCUCCCUGGGCGAGGGAGGCCAAUACUGGUGGAGUCAGCUGAGAUCUGAUCCUCUUCUUUUUGUAGUUUCCCAGCCUGAUAGGAAAAACAAAUAUGAAAGAAUCCAAAGUUUCUUCUUUCCUCUCUUGUAUGUGACAAUCCACCAAGGUGCUGCUGAGCACAUGCAAGAGGUAAGAGGAUGUGUGGAUAGAGCAAAAGUGUCCAUAUUUUUUGAGUACUAUCAAUGUACUAAAUUUCUCUCAGGUCACAGAUACUAUUAUUUAACACUGUCUAAAGCCAUGUAAAGAAGAGAAGCAAAGAAAAAAAAAAAAAAA
RNAcentral lists this long non-coding RNA (1754 nucleotides) under Taeniopygia guttata (zebra finch). Its description in RNAcentral is "lncRNA (ENSTGUG00000028987.1)". Lineage: Eukaryota; Metazoa; Chordata; Aves; Passeriformes; Estrildidae. The record is from RNAcentral.